UACGUAGGGGGCGAGCGUUAUCCGGAAUUACUGGGCGUAAAGCGCACGCAGGCGGUUCGUCAAGUUUGGAGUGACAGUUGUCGGCUCAACCGACAAAGGACUUCAAAAACUGGUGAACUUGAGGACGAGAGAGGAACAUGGAACUCCAGGUGUAGUAGUGAAAUGCGUAGAUAUCUGGAAGAACACCAAUGGCGAAGGCAAUGUUCUGGCUCGUUUCUGACGCUCAGGUGCGAAAGCCAGGGGAGCGAACGGG
This 253-nucleotide ribosomal RNA is filed under the name uncultured bacterium. RNAcentral describes it as "partial 16S ribosomal RNA". It matches the Rfam family "Bacterial small subunit ribosomal RNA", at positions 524 to 776 of the family's 1533-position model. The record is from RNAcentral.